UCCCUGGCAGUCCAGUGGUUAGGACUUGGCACUUUCACUGCAAAAGCCAGGGUUUGAUCCCUGGUUGGGGAA
This 72-nucleotide transfer RNA is filed under the name Ovis aries (sheep). It matches the Rfam family "tRNA". Rfam says of the family: Transfer RNA (tRNA) molecules are approximately 80 nucleotides in length. Their secondary structure includes four short double-helical elements and three loops (D, anti-codon, and T loops). RNAcentral also lists the same sequence under 1 other name. The record is from Rfam by way of RNAcentral. Lineage: Eukaryota; Metazoa; Chordata; Mammalia; Artiodactyla; Bovidae.